Molecule: non-coding RNA, 287 nt
Organism: Pelobates cultripes (western spadefoot toad)
Lineage: Eukaryota; Metazoa; Chordata; Amphibia; Anura; Pelobatidae
Source: the annotation of a GenBank genome assembly
GCCAAGGCUAUAAAACAGCUGUGAUUAUUUUAAUCUAAUUAAAACACCACUUUGUAAGCGCAGCUAUCUACAGAACGUUACCUAGAAUCAUAAAGCAGAACUGCAAUGAUCACUUUCACCAUAUACCUUCUAAUUAAUCUGUGAUAAUGUUUCAGCAGAUGACUUAUCUGAACAUAAAGAUGCAAAUAAUGACUGGGAAUCCUGUUGGGUCUCUUCCGACAAUGUAACCAGUUCAGCUUGCUGUCCAAAAUAUCUUCUAAGUACCAUUAAGAAAGAAACAUGGUAUG